RNAcentral lists this ribosomal RNA (253 nucleotides) under uncultured bacterium. RNAcentral describes it as "partial 16S ribosomal RNA". It matches the Rfam family "Bacterial small subunit ribosomal RNA", at positions 524 to 776 of the family's 1533-position model. The record is from RNAcentral.
UACGUAGGGUGCAAGCGUUGUCCGGAAUUAUUGGGCGUAAAGAGCUCGUAGGUGGUUUGUCGCGUUGUUCGUGAAAACCGGGGGCUUAACCCUCGGCGUGCGGGCGAUACGGGCAGACUUGAGUUCGGUAGGGGAGACUGGAAUUCCUGGUGUAGCGGUGAAAUGCGCAGAUAUCAGGAGGAACACCGGUGGCGAAGGCGGGUCUCUGGGCCGAUACUGACGCUGAGGAGCGAAAGCGUGGGGAGCGAACAGG